CACACACCUGGACACAAACACCUAGACACACACACCUGGACACACACACCUAGACGCACACACCUGGACGCACACACCUAGACAAACACACCUGGACACACACACCUAGACACACACACCUAGACACACACACCUGGACACACACACCUAGACACACACACCUGGACACACACACCUGGACACACACACGUAGACACACACACCUGGACACACACA
RNAcentral lists this long non-coding RNA (216 nucleotides) under Homo sapiens (human). Its description in RNAcentral is "HSALNT0344565". Lineage: Eukaryota; Metazoa; Chordata; Mammalia; Primates; Hominidae. The record is from RNAcentral.